Molecule: unclassified non-coding RNA, 369 nt
Filed under: Hevea brasiliensis (rubber tree)
Lineage: Eukaryota; Viridiplantae; Streptophyta; Magnoliopsida; Malpighiales; Euphorbiaceae
Source: RNAcentral
GAAUUAGUGUGCUUUAGGAACAAUGAAUUAUCAAACUUGGACUGAGCAUAGCCAAUAGACAAUAAGGUAGUAGAUAGCUUAGAAAACCAUUGUCGACCAGCCUGUUUUAAAACAUAUAAACUUUUCAAUAAUUUGCAUACUUUAUUAGGAGUAAAAGACUGAAAACCAAGUGGCAAGUUCAUAUAGAGUUCCUCAUGUAAGUCACCAUGCAAAUAAGUGUUAUUCACAUCUAAUUGGUGGAGACACCAGUCCUGUGCAACAAAAAUUGCCAAUAACAAUCUCACUGUUGUCAUCUUAGCUACGGGUGAGAAGGUGUCGAAAAAAUCAAUACCCUCAGUCUAUGUAUAUCCCUUCGCUACCAAGAGAGCU